AAAAGCAGUCAGUGGGGAGAUAUUACAAGGCCAAGCAGAUAUCAUGUUCUUCAUCAAAAAUUUCCCCUAAGUUCAGCAACUCUUGAAGCUGUUUCUUUUUUUGCCCGAUCCACUAUUAAGAUGGUUACAAAAGCUGACUUUCCAACUCAGACCUCUUCCAUUCAGCAUCCAGAGCAAGCAAGAUCCUUCCCUAACUUGAUUUAUCAGAUUAUUGGAAUGGAGGCAUGAAUGCCUUUUGUUUAAUGCUGUGUUAUGAAUUAUACUGUUAAUUUUAUUUAAAUUGUCCCAGAUCUAUCUAUAAAAAAUCCCCUUAACAGCUGGCUUCUGUGUCCUUAUGGACAUCUUUUUGUUGUUGUUGUUUUCUUUCAGAAUCUUCUACUUGCUAGCAUGACAAGGUGUUCCAGCCCUUGGGGUGCUUUGUUACACAGCAAGAGAUAACUGAUACAACCGUCAUGGCAUCAUCUUGGCAAUAGCUCUGUCUAGAUCUCCUAGAAUGUGUGAGAGGGUGAAUGUGGUAGAAGGAAAAGACAUUUCUAAGAAAAAUGCUAUUGGAUUAGACAGGGAGGGGCCUGGACAGAGGUUGCUAGGGUAUUUGCCCCACAGGUCUCAGGAAUAUGGAACAGUGGGUCUAAAAUCUGGGUCCCAGUUUUGGCGUUGUACUAAGCAGCAAUGUAACAGUGACAAAGUCCCCAACCUGCUAUGGUCUCACACGUAAAACAGGGAGAUGACCUGAAUCCUCAAAGUUCCUUUCCACUCUUGACUUGUCAACUGAUCUUUUUUUUUUUAUUACUCAAUGAAUUUAUUGUAUUUAUACUUGUACAAUGAUCAUCACAACCCAAUGUCCUUUUAGGGCAGCACCUGUGGCAUAUGUAAGUUGCCAGGUUAGGGGUCAAAUCGGAGCCAUAGUUGCCAGCCUAUGCCACAGCCACAGCAAUUCCAGACCUGAGCCACAUCUGCAACCUACACCACAGCUCACGGCAACGCUGGAUCCUUAAUCCACUGAGCAAAGCCAGGGAUCAAACCUAUGUCCUCAUGGAUACCAGUAGUGUUCGUUAACUGCUGAGCCACAGCAGGAACUCCGAAUCCUGGCUUUUGAAGGGAAUGGAGGGGAGUAAGAUAAGGAGAUAGGCAGGGAGAGUUCCCCAGGCAAUAAACAUUUCUGUUAAAAAAAAAAAAAAAGUGUUCAAAACAUUCCACAAUUUUACCUCUUUGUAAGCAUUUCUCUUCAGUGAUAUGCAGGCCUUUAAAAAAUAAUUUUGCCCAGAGGUAACAGGCCUAAGUUAAGGAUGGAUAACGUUCACCUCACUUGAAGGAGCUCAUGUAGUAUUUGACAGAACAUUCAGUUCCAGAGAAAUCAUCACAAAGAGAUUUAUUCUAUUUUGGAAAAUGUGACACAUCACCAAUUUGUAUUGUCUGUCGAGAGGUACAGAAAAUCCAGGUUCGGUGGCAUUUUCUACCGGGCAGCGGUCAGGGUUCCGGAGGAGGGGGCUGGGCAGCCCGGAGGGCAUGGGAUACUGGGGUGAGUAGCAGCAGGAGUGGACACUACCCAGCAGAGCUCUCGUCCCAGUCCUCUCGCUCCUUCUUGCACAUUCUCGCCCUUCCCACCUCUUCCCCAGUCCUACUUCCUACAGAAAGGAAGCUCCGUUUCUGAGAGCCAGUGGAGCAUGACCUCGGGAAGCAUCUCCUCUCAGAAAUGCCACCUGACAGAGGUCCUCUCAGGACCAAAUGUCACGUGGGAGUUGAGUGCCACCUGGGUGCCAUUCAUCUGGUGAGAAAGCAAUUCCUUUUAUUGGAGGGGAUUAUCUCUUGUUUACGUGGGUUCAGCAUGAUAAUGGGGACCUCAAAACCCCUUCUUGAUGACACUCUUCUUUACCAGACUGGGAAACAGUUCUUGAGGAUGCUAUUUUCCUGGAAGUGCUACAAAUGAAGGACAAAAUUCUCCAGAACAUGCUUCCUUGCUUUGCCACCAAAUCAUCACUACACAAUCAAACAUAAAAAGUGAUAAAUGUAUUUAGGUGGGGAGAAUAAAUGUUGCUAACACUGCACUCUGGGUCCACAAGGACACCUGGAAAAGUUCCUGGUGUCACAUGAACGGGCUUCAUCACCUUAGAGGAAAAGGGCGUUCUGGGAGAUGUGUCUUCUAGCUCAGUGUUGGAAAACAUCCUGCAAAGAGCCAGGCAUUAAAUAUUUGGGGUUUUCAGGGCCAUAAAGUCUCUGUGACAGCUCCUCAACUCUGCCAAUAUAGUUUG
Molecule: long non-coding RNA, 2249 nt
Filed under: Sus scrofa (pig)
Lineage: Eukaryota; Metazoa; Chordata; Mammalia; Artiodactyla; Suidae
Description: lncRNA (ENSSSCG00030023161.1)
Source: RNAcentral